Molecule: long non-coding RNA, 863 nt
Filed under: Stegodyphus dumicola
Lineage: Eukaryota; Metazoa; Arthropoda; Arachnida; Araneae; Eresidae
Description: uncharacterized LOC118204754, transcript variant X2
Source: RNAcentral
GAAUUAGUUCUUGUUGCAACAAUAUAAAUAAUUUAGUCUCCAGAAAGUUUGCAACAAACAAUAUAACUUGAGAAUUCAAUGAAAAAUUAAAAAUCACAAGCAUUGAAUAUUUUUGCCAAUGAAAUAGUUGGAAUGAACUGAAAAUACCAAGGAAAUGUUAUACCAAGGACCUCCUUGCAUUAUAAUCCUUAGGACAAACCUGUAACCGCGUAAUUUACCGCGAAAAUUUGUUUACAAAAUCGGAACAUAAUAAAUUUAAAUAAUUUGUUUUUCUCUUAAGCAUAAUUUUAAUCUCAUGUAUAGUAGUAUCGGAAAUUUUGUAAAGAAUUUGCUGACCUCUGAUCUAUGUACUAAUUCAUAGUACCUUUGGAGUAAUUUUAACACAAGUAUAUGCAGGUCUGCAGUGUGGAAAAGAUUAAAGUUUUUUACAAGUAUUAUAAGAAGAAAAUGUUCUAAAUCACUGUGAUUUUGUGAAGAUCAGGAUUUUGGGCAAUAUGUAUGUUGUAAAAGAAGAAAAUGUUCUAAAUCACUGUGAUUUUGUGAAGAUCAGGAUUUUGGGCAAUAUAUAUGUUGUAUGAGAAGAAAAUAUUCUAAAUCAAUAUCUUUUUGUGAAGAUCAGGAUUUGGGACAAUAUGUAUGGAAAAUAAAGAAAGUCAGAAAAAGAAGAAAGAUGCUUCUGUGUAUCACUUUGUAAUGAAAAAUGACCUGUAUUCAUAGUUCAGUAAACAUAUGGUGACAUCCAAUAGAUCAGUUUUGUUUAAAACCAAUUGUUUGUUAUGUGAAUUCCCCUGCCUGCUAUUAUUGAUAUUUGUAAAGACUCAUCUUUAACAAGCUUUAAAAAUAAAAAAAUAUAUAUAAAUGGA